UUUCUCAGUUUCCUCCAUACAGAACUGUUUCGUUUUAGCACACCUUCUACAGAUGCCAUCAAGGCAAAAUGGGAGGAAGAACUAGGGACUGACAUUUCGGUGGCUGACUGGGAAGAGAGCUUGGAGUAUAUCCACACAUGCUCCAUUAACUCCAGACAUCGUCUCAUACAUUUCAAGAGAGAUAUUAAUUUCUGUCGGCGCAACGCAAAAGAAUCCUGGUGGCUGUACCGACUCCAACAACAUGUCCCAAGAGAACCAUGUUUCCAUGAAACAGAAGACUGGACAUUGUCGAGUAUUAUACUCGGAAGCGGUGGGUGAUGUGCACGCCUCCAAAGUUUGACCAGGAGCCCGCUUCGUCUACCUCUUUUGCGGCGAUGUUGUUUUGGGUUGGCCUCUGGAAUCAGAUCACAUGCCCUGGGUGGUGGUGCGAACAAAGGAUCCGCUUCGGGAAAGUUGUAUUCCUGGUCGUAAUGUUGG
This is a long non-coding RNA of Oncorhynchus tshawytscha (Chinook salmon), 477 nucleotides long. The record is from Ensembl. NCBI's taxonomy places the organism in Eukaryota, Metazoa, Chordata, Actinopteri, Salmoniformes, Salmonidae.